This 485-nucleotide ribosomal RNA is filed under the name uncultured bacterium. RNAcentral's name for it is "partial 16S ribosomal RNA". It matches the Rfam family "Bacterial small subunit ribosomal RNA", at positions 30 to 507 of the family's 1533-position model. The record is from RNAcentral.
AUUGAACGCUGGCGGCAUGCCUAACACAUGCAAGUCGAACGGAAACGAUGGAGCUUGCUCCAGGCGUCGAGUGGCGGACGGGUGAGUAACGCAUGGGAAUCUGCCUUUUGCUGGGGGAUAACGUAGGGAAACUUACGCUAAUACCGCAUAAGACCUAAGGGUGAAAGCGGGGGACCGAAAGGCCUCGCGGCAAGAGAUGAGCCCAUGUUGGAUUAGCUAGUUGGUGGGGUAAAGGCCUACCAAGGCGACGAUCCAUAGCUGGUCUGAGGGGAUGAUCAGCCACACGGGGACUAGGACACGGCCCAGCCUCCUACGGGAGGCAGCGGUGGGGAUUAUUCGACAAGGGGGGGAACCCUGAUCCAGCAAUGCCGCGUGUGUGAAGAAGGCCUUCGGGUUGUAAAGCACUUUCAGUAGGGAGGAAAGGUGCGUAGUUAAUACCUGCGCAAUUGACGUUACCUACAGAAGAAGCACCGGCUAACUCCGUG